RNAcentral lists this transfer RNA (55 nucleotides) under Anathallis lewisiae. RNAcentral's name for it is "partial tRNA-Thr". It matches the Rfam family "tRNA", at positions 18 to 71 of the family's 71-position model. Rfam says of the family: Transfer RNA (tRNA) molecules are approximately 80 nucleotides in length. Their secondary structure includes four short double-helical elements and three loops (D, anti-codon, and T loops). RNAcentral also lists the same sequence under 2 other names. Lineage: Eukaryota; Viridiplantae; Streptophyta; Magnoliopsida; Asparagales; Orchidaceae. The record is from RNAcentral.
GUAGAGUAACGCCAUGGUAAGGCGUAAGUCAUCGGUUCAAAUCCGAUAAAGGGCU